This 734-nucleotide long non-coding RNA is filed under the name Cicer arietinum (chickpea). Its description in RNAcentral is "long non-coding RNA (CARI_LNC001463)". The record is from RNAcentral. Lineage: Eukaryota; Viridiplantae; Streptophyta; Magnoliopsida; Fabales; Fabaceae.
CAGUCACCAGUCACCAGUCACCAGUCACCAGUCGCGACUCACGAGCCCCCAGUCACCAGUCCCCAGUCCCCAGUCCCCAGUCACCAGUCCCCAGUCACCAGUCCCCAGUCACCAGUCCCCUGUCACCAGUCCCCAGUCACGAGUCACCAGUCACGAGCCCCCAGUCACCAGUCACCAGUCCCCAGUCACCAGUCCCCUGUCACCAGUCCCCAGUCACGAGUCACCAGUCACGAGCCCCCAGUCACCAGUCACUUAGUAACGCAAUCCAAAUUUUGUUUUCAAUGAAAUUUUUGAUGUCCAUGUUAUGUGUUUUAUGAUGCAAGUCCCAUGAUGAAUUUUGCUCAAAAUUAAAUUUUUAACUUUUUUUAUAUUUUUUAAUUAUAUUUUUAAUAUUUUCUGCACUUUAAAAAAUUAUAAUUAAAUAAUCCCUUUCCAGAAAAUUCCAAUUUUUUGUGGGAUGUGUUAUUUAAUUAUUGACAACGUCCCUGUAAAAUGUCAAGAAACAAUUCCAAGUCUAGGUACCUCAACUCGAAAAUGUGCCCCUUAUAUAAUUUUUAAAAAAAUCUCCGUUUGUCAAAAAGUUCCAAUUUUUUUGAUGGACAUUAGUAUUGUGUUGAUGAACAUUCGUGCAAAAUUUCAUGAAAAAAUUCGAAGUCUAGAUCCCGAGUCACCAGUCACGAGUCGCGAUUCACGAGCCCCCAGUCACCAGUCACGAGUCGCGACUCACGAGCCCC